GGACUACCGGGGUAUCUAAUCCUGUUUGAUCCCCACGCUUUCGCGCCUCAGCGUCAGUGUUAGUCCAGGUAGCCGCCUUCGCCACUGGUGUUCCUUCCGAUAUCUACGCAUUUCACCGCUACACCGGAAAUUCCACUACCCUCUACUACACUCUAGCUAGCCAGUAUCAGAUGCAGUUCCUAGGUUAAGCCCAGGGAUUUCACAUCUAACUUAACUAACCGCCUACGCGCCCUUUACGCCCAGUAAUUCCGAUUAACGCUUGCACCCUCUGUAUUACCGCGGCUGCUGGCAC
RNAcentral lists this ribosomal RNA (292 nucleotides) under uncultured bacterium. Its description in RNAcentral is "partial 16S ribosomal RNA". The record is from RNAcentral.